This 76-nucleotide transfer RNA is filed under the name Verrucomicrobiales bacterium. Its description in RNAcentral is "tRNA-Gly". It matches the Rfam family "tRNA". Rfam says of the family: Transfer RNA (tRNA) molecules are approximately 80 nucleotides in length. Their secondary structure includes four short double-helical elements and three loops (D, anti-codon, and T loops). The record is from RNAcentral. Lineage: Bacteria; Pseudomonadati; Verrucomicrobiota; Verrucomicrobiia; Verrucomicrobiales.
GCGAGUGUAGCUCAAUUGGUAGAGCAUCUGCUUGCCAUGCAGAAGGUCGUGGGUUCGAGGCCCAUCACUCGCUCCA